RNAcentral lists this transfer RNA (72 nucleotides) under Camelus bactrianus (Bactrian camel). It matches the Rfam family "tRNA". Rfam says of the family: Transfer RNA (tRNA) molecules are approximately 80 nucleotides in length. Their secondary structure includes four short double-helical elements and three loops (D, anti-codon, and T loops). Further hydrogen bonds mediate the characteristic L-shaped molecular structure. tRNAs have two regions of fundamental functional importance: the anti-codon, which is responsible for specific mRNA codon recognition, and the 3' end, to which the tRNAs corresponding amino acid is attached (by aminoacyl-tRNA synthetases). tRNAs cope with the degeneracy of the genetic code in two manners: having more than one tRNA (with a specific anti-codon) for a particular amino acid; and 'wobble' base-pairing, i.e. permitting non-standard base-pairing at the 3rd anti-codon position. RNAcentral also lists the same sequence under 1 other name. The record is from Rfam by way of RNAcentral. Lineage: Eukaryota; Metazoa; Chordata; Mammalia; Artiodactyla; Camelidae.
GGCGGUAUAGCUCGGUGGUGGAGCGCGUGCCUAGCAUGCAUGAAGUCCUGGGUUCAGUCCCCAGUACCUCCA